Molecule: long non-coding RNA, 642 nt
Organism: Poecilia latipinna (sailfin molly)
Lineage: Eukaryota; Metazoa; Chordata; Actinopteri; Cyprinodontiformes; Poeciliidae
Exons: 4
Source: RefSeq, a predicted model, not a curated record
CACACUCCCUCUCCUUGUUUUUACUUUUUUACUUUCUGUCGCCGGUGUUUCAGACCAGCAUCAAACUAAACCCCUAACCUCCAGUGUGACUCAAGAAAAAAGAAGUCUUUACUAAUGUGUGGAUAAGAAGAACAUUUCAACAGAAUGGGUUCCAAUCACAGCAGUGACACACUCCAUUGUAAUCGCUACCUGAAAGGACAGGGUCCUCAAUCACUGGCACAACGAGUAAAUGAUGGGAUGAGUUGGAGGAACACAUCAUCAAAUUUUUAUCAACCUGAAGGCAAAAUGAGUUUGGAGAUUCUCCACAAAAAAAUGCCAGGUUUCCCUGAUGCCAACACACUGAAGAUCACUUAUAUUUUUGCUAAAGGCAUACAGACAGAGAAACACCCCCACCCUGGCCAGCCAUAUGCACAGAGACGGGUGUGUACAUACCUCCCUGAAAACCAUGAGGGGCGGACUGUCGUCACUUUGCUGGAGAAGGCCUUCAAUCAGCAGCUUUUGUUUACCAUUGCUACCAAUGAAAGUGGAGAAGAUGUUAUCACCCCAGCCUCUGUUCCACUAAAAAUACAACAUGAAGAAGAAGGAAGCAUAAUGUAAGUUAACAUUAUUGAGUUGAUAUCAGACAAUGUUGGGGUCCAAUUU